Molecule: long non-coding RNA, 424 nt
Organism: Myotis daubentonii (Daubenton's bat)
Lineage: Eukaryota; Metazoa; Chordata; Mammalia; Chiroptera; Vespertilionidae
Source: RefSeq, a predicted model, not a curated record
UUAAAACACACAGCGCUAAGGGGAGCAAACAUAUUAAGAACAGUAUGCCACUUUUCGGCCGCGGAGCGCGACUUGGGCUCAGUCCAGUUCAGGAUGCUUACAAACUUCAGGGCUGGUGCUGCUGGAGAGACACAAUUGUGCCGGAAAGAAGCUUUUCAAGUAGAUAAGGUGUAUGUGAACAGCUUUUGUUCCACGGCCCCAGCCUCCUGCCUGACACAGUAACCCUACUGUGUAUUCUGUACUUAAGGCCGUUUUGUCCACUGUGCUUCAAUUUACAAAGCUAUUUUAAAAUCCCAUUCUUUUGACUGUUGUAAAGAUUAUUUGUUACCAAGUAUUCUUUUAAAAUCCUGGUUUUAUAUGCUUACAGAUUUUUCUAAAAUGCUGUAUGUAGAACACUUUAAUGAUUAAAUGUGACCCUUUUGAU